AGCCCUGAGGUGUAAACACGUUUGAUUGCAAAUCUUAAGUAGCAGAUUGACGUCUGCCGGGGCUU
Molecule: transfer RNA, 65 nt
Filed under: Favonigobius reichei (Indo-Pacific tropical sand goby)
Lineage: Eukaryota; Metazoa; Chordata; Actinopteri; Gobiiformes; Gobiidae
Description: tRNA-Cys
Source: RNAcentral